UCAACCUGAGAGUUUGAUCCUGGCUCAGAGCGAACGCUGGCGGCAGGCCUAACACAUGCAAGUCGAACGAACUCUUCGGAGUUAGUGGCGGACGGGUGAGUAACACGUGGGAACGUGCCUUUAGGUUCGGAAUAACUCAGGGAAACUUGUGCUAAUACCGAAUGUGCCCUUCGGGGGAAAGAUUUAUCGCCUUUAGAGCGGCCCGCGUCUGAUUAGCUUGUUGGUGGGGUAAUGGCCCACCAAGGCGACGAUCAGUAGCUGGUCUGAGAGGAUGACCAGCCACAUUGGGACUGAGACACGGCCCAAACUCCUACGGGAGGCAGCAGUGGGGAAUCUUGCGCAAUGGGCGAAAGCCUGACGCAGCCAUGCCGCGUGGAUGAUGAAGGUCUUAGGAUUGUAAAAUCCUUUCACCGGUGAAGAUAAUGAC
This 427-nucleotide ribosomal RNA is filed under the name Brevundimonas sp. RNAcentral's name for it is "bacterial SSU rRNA". It matches the Rfam family "Bacterial small subunit ribosomal RNA", at positions 1 to 455 of the family's 1533-position model. Lineage: Bacteria; Pseudomonadati; Pseudomonadota; Alphaproteobacteria; Caulobacterales; Caulobacteraceae. The record is from RNAcentral.